Molecule: ribosomal RNA, 492 nt
Filed under: uncultured bacterium
Lineage: Bacteria
Description: partial 16S ribosomal RNA
Rfam family: Bacterial small subunit ribosomal RNA
Source: RNAcentral
AGUGAACGCUGGCGGUAGGCCUAACACAUGCAAGUCGAACGGCAGCACAGUAAGAGCUUGCUCUUACGGGUGGCGAGUGGCGGACGGGUGAGGAAUACAUCGGAAUCUACUUUUUCGUGGGGGAUAACGUAGGGAAACUUACGCUAAUACCGCAUACGACCUACGGGUGAAAGCAGGGGAUCUUCGGACCUUGCGCGAUUGAAUUAGCCGAUGUGGGAUUAUCUAGUUGGCGGGGUAAAGGCCCACCAAGGCGACGAUCCGUAGCUGGUCUGAGAGGAUGAGCAGCCACACGGGAACGGAGACACGGUCCAGACUCCUACGGGAGGAAGCAGUGGGGAAGAUUGGACAAUGGGCGAAAGCUUGAGACAGCAAUACGGAGGGGGGGAAGAAGGUCUUCGGAUUGUAAAGCUGUUUUGUGGGGAAAAAAAAGAAGCAGGUUAAUACCCGGCUGUUUUGACGGUACCAAAAGAAAAAGCACCGGCUAACUUCGUG